UACAGAGGUCCCAAGCGUUGUUCGGAUUCACUGGGCGUAAAGGGUGCGUAGGUGGCUGGGUAAGUCUGAUGUGAAAUCUCCGAGCUCAACUCGGAAAUGGCAUUGGAAACUAUCCGGCUAGAGGAGUGGAGGGGGGACUGGAAUACUUGGUGUAGCAGUGAAAUGCGUAGAUAUCAAGUGGAACACCAGUGGCGAAGGCGAGUCCCUGGACACUUCCUGACACUGAGGCACGAAAGCUAGGGGAGCAAACAGG
Molecule: ribosomal RNA, 253 nt
Filed under: uncultured bacterium
Lineage: Bacteria
Description: partial 16S ribosomal RNA
Rfam family: Bacterial small subunit ribosomal RNA
Source: RNAcentral